CCUACGGGUGGCAGCAGUGGGGGAUAUUGCACAAUGGGGGAAACCCUGAUGCAGCGACGCCGCGUGGGCGAAGAAGUAUUUCGGUAUGUAAAGCCCUAUCAGCAGGGAAGAAGAAAUGACGGUACCUGAGUAAGAAGCACCGGCUAAAUACGUGCCAGCAGCCGCGGUAAUACGGAUGGUGCAAGCGUUAUCCGGAUUUACUGGGUGUAAAGGGAGCGCAGGCGGCACGGCCAGCCUGAUGGGAAAGCCCGCGGGCCAACCGCCGGACCGCAUUGGAAACUACCGGGCUGGAGUGCCGGAGAGGUAGGCGGAAUUCCUAGUGUAGCGGUGAAAUGCGGAGAUAUUAGGAGGAACCCCAGUGGCGAAGGCGGCCUACCGGGCGGUGACUGACGCUGAGGCUCGAAGGCGUGGGGAGCAAACAGGAUUAGAUACCCUUGUAGUC
RNAcentral lists this ribosomal RNA (442 nucleotides) under uncultured bacterium. Its description in RNAcentral is "partial 16S ribosomal RNA". It matches the Rfam family "Bacterial small subunit ribosomal RNA", at positions 338 to 795 of the family's 1533-position model. The record is from RNAcentral.